GUUGAUUAAAUUUAAUAUUUUCUAUUUUAUUGUAAAUAUCUUUUUGCUAGGCUUACACGCAAGUACCUUAGACAAAAAUAUAUUAAUAAAAAGUUGUGCUCAUAAAUAAAAUUCUCUAUAUGAUAUUUGCUUACCGAUGAGCUAAAUAAUUUGCUCCCGAAUAUUUUCUCUCCUUGAAUUGGUACUGAAACAAUAAUUUUUCCCCAUAUAACAAUAUAUAAUAUGUAAAUACGCGUCACUCGAUCUCUCAACUUAUUUCGGUAGUAUUAAAUUGAGAAGAGCAUACCCUGACAAACCUAAACAUAAGUCCCUAGACAAGAUUUUUGACCGGGCUAUUGGAUUUCGCACAUCGAAGGGUGGUCUUGGCUUCACUCGUGCGUGCAACUAACAAGUAUCUCUUUUUUAUUUCCAUCCGGUUUUUCUUCUUCUCAUACACGUACGUUAAUAUCCAUUUCUCAGCUGAACGUUGAAGCAUUUACACACGUUAUGUUACAUAUGGGCAUGGGUAUACAUUUUUAUUUAUUUUUAAAUCCGCUGGUGUUCCGUUUACGCAAAAAAUAUAUUUACGUACAAGAUGAAGUAAAGAGCCAUACCAGCGGCAAUCUUGCGUGAUCAACCAUCACCGGACAAUUGACGUCUUUAUCCAGGCAUUCAUUGAGAAGCCUGUUUUCAGCCAGCCAGUUACCAACAAGUAAGACGAAUUAGCGCUCCUGUGAGAUUUACCAUCGACAGCUUUCGCUCAAAAAUAUCUCUAUAGUAAUAAAAUACCAUAAAUGAGCCCCCAGUCCAGAUAAAAGCAAAAUAUCUUGUCACUCGCACUGUCAGAUGGCCCAGACCUCACCGAACCAAUACCACUACUGUGCAAUGUGCUUGAUGCUUUACAGCAUAACCUUCUGCAAACAAGUAGAUGUGAAGAAGUAGAUGAGAAGAGAAGAAAUCACAAGAAUCAGAGCUCUGAGCAAGUGGCAGAUGGCAGGAGACCGAGCUCCUCUCUCUUGAUAUAAACUCAACAUUGGCUCACACUAAUCCAAAGUCAGUCCACAUACACUGGAUCACUUGAUCAUCCUCACACUGUUGCCGCCGUCACGCCCUACAAUAAAAAGAACAACAACAAGGAGAGGAUGCGUCGGCAACCCUUUGGAGAGAUCAUCCUUCCCUUUCUCCCCUUGCCGUAGAGUACUGGGGUCGGCAUUUGUAACGCGGGAUCAAGGCGAGAUAUCAAACACCAAGCCUCAUUCUGUUCGCAGAAUUAAAUCCUGGAUGAGUUUUAUUUAAUAAAUAUAUACACCUUGAGGUGAGAUACACAAACAACUUGGUAUAAAGCUCAAGAAAAAUAAAGUCGACAGUGUAAUCAAGAUAAGUAACUGAGUAUUUUCUUUAUAAACUAAUUUGAUUAUUCACUCACUUGCAAUCUAAUCUACCUUACAAUAAAAAAUUCCACAUAAGUAUGCGGUACUUAAGUAUACUUUUACUUAAAAUAAAACCCUAUGUAUAGACUAUUGAAAAAUUACAUCAGGUGUUAUUGUAAACUACGGUUUGCUAUUAAACAAACUAUUUUCAUGUCUGACCAUGACAUGGCCAAUGUUCAAUAAUAACAUUGAUAUUUAACAAUUCUGUUAAAUUGUAUGUUCUAUAGCAAGCUUUCACAAUCAUGUGUUUAUUAAAUAUUGCACAAAUUCGAUCCAUAUUCAUUACGAUAGUUCGGUUUUAAUUAACAGCGUGUUUUGAUAAAUUUAUGGUAAUUCAUGAAGUUUAUUCCCAAUAUUUGAUAUUGAAACUAUAAAUUGCCGGACUAAUUUGUACUGAAAAUUAUUUGAUGAAUUUAUACUCGUGUUUAGAUUUACAAUUUAUGAAUAAUUACAUAUAGACGAAAGUUACAAUUAACACUAAGUAGGUCAAAAAUUUUAAAAUCGCGUGGAUUGGAUGAUUUUUUUCUGUAUAUUUAAAAUUAUUAUUUAAUAAUUUCAGA
This 1969-nucleotide long non-coding RNA is filed under the name Cotesia glomerata. RNAcentral's name for it is "uncharacterized LOC123275493, transcript variant X1". Lineage: Eukaryota; Metazoa; Arthropoda; Insecta; Hymenoptera; Braconidae. The record is from RNAcentral.